AUAAAAUCUAAUUGCUCGUAUUCCUCUUCUAGUUUAGAUAUUUGGUUUUUUAUAUCACUUCUUGCAGAUUUUAGCUGUAUCAGGUUUUGCAUGCAUUGAACUACUUUAUUUGGCUGUCCUGUUUUUAACUGAUGUAAUAAUACAUUUUUUCUUAUAGUUUUUACCUCAUCGACAGUAAAUAUAAGAUCAGCUAAAUCAUCCCAUAGAAAUGAAACAGUACCUGUAUAUAAUCUGUAAAUAUAGUGCAUUAUUCACAACUAUGAUAUUAGGAUCAAACUAUUAAUCAUUGCAAAUUGUUGGUGGACAUCUCAAUUUGUGAGCCCAUGCAAAUGGAUCAGUAGAUUUUUCCAUAUUUCUAAACACAUAAAAAAUAUAUGUAUUCGUAGAUAAACAUAAUUAAGUAACUGAUUUUAAAUGUACAUAUGUAAAUAGGAAUGAAAUAAAAUUUGAUGGUCACCUUUAUGUAAA
This is a non-coding RNA of Megalopta genalis, 468 nucleotides long. The record is from RefSeq and is a predicted model, not a curated record. NCBI's taxonomy places the organism in Eukaryota, Metazoa, Arthropoda, Insecta, Hymenoptera, Halictidae.